RNAcentral lists this ribosomal RNA (371 nucleotides) under uncultured organism. Its description in RNAcentral is "bacterial SSU rRNA". It matches the Rfam family "Bacterial small subunit ribosomal RNA", at positions 527 to 896 of the family's 1533-position model. The record is from RNAcentral.
GUAGGGUGCGAGCGUUAAUCGGAAUUACUGGGCGUAAAGCGUGCGCAGGCGGUUUUGUAAGACAGGCGUGAAAUCCCCGGGCUCAACCUGGGGACUGCGCUUGUGACUGCAAGGCUAGAGUACGGCAGAGGGGGGUGGAAUUCCACGUGUAGCAGUGAAAUGCGUAGAGAUGUGGAGGAACACCAAUGGCGAAGGCAGCCCCCUGGGUCGAUACUGACGCUCAUGCACGAAAGCGUGGGUAGCAAACAGGAUUAGAUACCCUGGUAGUCCACGCCCUAAACGAUGUCAACUAGGUGUUGGGUGGGUAAAACCAUUUAGUACCGGAGCUAACGCGUGAAGUUGACCGCCUGGGGAGUACGGCCGCAAGGUUA